This 560-nucleotide ribosomal RNA is filed under the name Bacillus sp. Ni9. Its description in RNAcentral is "bacterial SSU rRNA". It matches the Rfam family "Bacterial small subunit ribosomal RNA", at positions 28 to 571 of the family's 1533-position model. Lineage: Bacteria; Bacillati; Bacillota; Bacilli; Caryophanales; Bacillaceae. The record is from RNAcentral.
GUUUAACGCUGGCGGCGUGCCUAAUACAUGCAAGUCGAGCGGACAGAUGGGAGCUUGCUCCCUGAUGUUAGCGGCGGACGGGUGAGUAACACGUGGGUAACCUGCCUGUAAGACUGGGAUAACUCCGGGAAACCGGGGCUAAUACCGGAUGGUUGUUUGAACCGCAUGGUUCAGACAUAAAAGGUGGCUUCGGCUACCACUUACAGAUGGACCCGCGGCGCAUUAGCUAGUUGGUGAGGUAACGGCUCACCAAGGCGACGAUGCGUAGCCGACCUGAGAGGGUGAUCGGCCACACUGGGACUGAGACACGGCCCAGACUCCUACGGGAGGCAGCAGUAGGGAAUCUUCCGCAAUGGACGAAAGUCUGACGGAGCAACGCCGCGUGAGUGAUGAAGGUUUUCGGAUCGUAAAGCUCUGUUGUUAGGGAAGAACAAGUGCCGUUCAAAUAGGGCGGCACCUUGACGGUACCUAACCAGAAAGCCACGGCUAACUACGUGCCAGCAGCCGCGGUAAUACGUAGGUGGCAAGCGUUGUCCGGAAUUAUUGGGCGUAAGGGCUCG